This 333-nucleotide unclassified non-coding RNA is filed under the name soil metagenome. RNAcentral describes it as "partial contains 5.8S ribosomal RNA, internal transcribed spacer 2, and large subunit ribosomal RNA". The stretch from base 1 to 120 matches the Rfam family "5.8S ribosomal RNA", at positions 35 to 154 of the family's 154-position model. The record is from RNAcentral.
GAUGAAGAACGCAGCGAAAUGCGAUAAGUAAUGUGAAUUGCAGAAUUCAGUGAAUCAUCGAAUCUUUGAACGCACAUUGCGCCCGCCAGUAUUCUGGCGGGCAUGCCUGUUCGAGCGUCAUUUCAACCAUCAAGCCCUGCUUGCGUUGGGGUCCUGCGGCUGCCCGCAGGCCCUGAAAACCAGUGGCGGGCUCGCUAGUCACACCGAGCGCAGUAAUACAUCUCGCUUUGGGCGUGCGGCGGGUUCUUGCCGUUAAACACCCCCUUUUUACCAAGGUUGACCUCGGAUCAGGUAGGAAUACCCGCUGAACUUAAGCAUAUCAAUAGCGGAGGA